UGCCAGCAGCCGCGGUAAUACGGAGGGGGCUAGCGUUGUUCGGAAUUACUGGGCGUAAAGCGCACGUAGGCGGAUUGGUCAGUUGGGGGUGAAAUCCCGAGGCUCAACCUCGGAACUGCCCUCAAUACUGCCAAUCUUGAGUUCGAGAGAGGUGAGUGGAAUUCCUAGUGUAGAGGUGAAAUUCGUAGAUAUUAGGAAGAACACCAGUGGCGAAGGCGGCUCACUGGCUCGAUACUGACGCUGAGGUGCGAAAGCGUGGGGAGCAAACAGGAUUAGAUA
This 279-nucleotide ribosomal RNA is filed under the name uncultured bacterium. RNAcentral's name for it is "partial 16S ribosomal RNA". It matches the Rfam family "Bacterial small subunit ribosomal RNA", at positions 506 to 784 of the family's 1533-position model. The record is from RNAcentral.